UUACACAUGCAAGUCGAGGGGUAUCCUAGCAAUAGGAGAGACCGGCGCACGGGUGCGUAUCGCGUAUGCAAUCUACCUUUCACAAAGGGAUAGCCCAGAGAAAUUUAGAUUAAUACCUUAUAGUAUAGCGAGUUCGCAUGGAUUUGCUAUUAAAGAUUUAUCGGUGAAAGAUGAGCAUGCGUCCCAUUAGCUAGUUGGUAAGGUAACGGCUUACCAAGGCUACGAUGGGUAGGGGUCCUGAGAGGGAGAUCCCCCACACUGGUACUGAGACACGGACCAGACUCCUACGGGAGGCAGCAGUGAGGAAUAUUGGUCAAUGGGCGCAAGCCUGAACCAGCCAUGCCGCGUGCAGGAUGACGGUCCUAUGGAUUGUAAACUGCUUUUGUACAGGAAGAAACACUCGGACGUGUCCGAGCUUGACGGUACUGUAAGAAUAAGGAUCGGCUAACUCCGUGCCAGCAGCCGCGGUAAUACGGAGGAUCCAAGCGUUAUCCGGAAUCAUUGGGUUUAAAGGGUCCGUAGGCGGCUUAAUAAGUCAGUGGUGAAAUCCCUACGCUUAACGUAGGAACGGCCAUUGAUACUGUUAGGCUUGAAUUAUUAGGAAGUAACUAGAAUAUGUAGUGUAGCGGUGAAAUGCUUAGAGAUUACAUGGAAUACCAAUUGCGAAGGCAGGUUACUACUAAUUGAUUGACGCUGAUGGACGAAAGCGUGGGUAGCGAACAGGAUUAGAUACCCUGGUAGUCCACGCCGUAAACGAUGGAUACUAGCUGUUGGGAGCAAUCUCAGUGGCUAAGCGAAAGUGAUAAGUAUCCCACCUGGGGAGUACGUUCGCAAGAAUGAAACUCAAAGGGAUUGACGGGGGCUUGCACAAGCGGUGGAGCAUGUGGUUUAAUUCGAUGAUACGCGAGGAACCUU
RNAcentral lists this ribosomal RNA (915 nucleotides) under uncultured Flavobacteriaceae bacterium. Its description in RNAcentral is "bacterial SSU rRNA". It matches the Rfam family "Bacterial small subunit ribosomal RNA", at positions 49 to 972 of the family's 1533-position model. Lineage: Bacteria; Pseudomonadati; Bacteroidota; Flavobacteriia; Flavobacteriales; Flavobacteriaceae. The record is from RNAcentral.